CCCCUCCAUCCCCUCCGCUGCCCCUGGCAGCAGAUGCAGCUACGCACGGGCCCAGGAAAAGACCACCGCAUGGCACGUGAGUAUCAGAGGAUGCGAAGAUGGGCGGUGCUGGAAGUGCUUGCUAUUUUCCACUGUCAAAGUCAAAAGUCCACAACAGAAAGCUUCCACCCCCCACCCGGCCUCCAGAGGGUGUUUGUCCACGAAGGCGCGGCCUGGGGCACCCGGAGCCUUGUCAAAGGGAAAGGACGCCGGCAGGGGGUCUUCUUUCUUAUAGCUGCAUCCUCCGGCCUGAGAAUAGCUUCACGUUCAGUAGUUUCCUCUCGGGCCUGUCUUAUCCGUAUUUGCUAGUGUUGGGUUACUCAGUCACAGCUCCCAGGAACUCCUAGGGUUAAUUAAAUAAGCUCUCUCACCCUAAUUAACGUUCCUCGUGUUCUUGUUGGGUUGGUUGUUUUUAACAAUUCUGGGGGAGGGGAGCUUCUCCUUCGAGUCCUUGGGUCCACACAGUUAACUGUGAUGGGUCGAUGGCUGGAAGGGAGGUUGAGCUCACCCAGGGGGCCUUUCAGGUGGUAGCCCAGUGCCUAACUGGUUACUUAUGACACUUGGGGACUUGAAAUGACAUAUACUGCCACCCACUCUCCCCCCUUUUAAAACAUCAUUGGUAGCAUAGCAUAUGCGCGAAGACCUCGCUCUUUUCCUUACUAAUCUGUAGGACCUUAAAAGCACACUACUUUGUCUGGCUGCGCCGGAGUCCGUGGAGCAGAGACUCCAGGCUGGAUUUAGCCACUCCCAGCGGCUGCUCUUCAGGCUGUUUCCAAGCGAUGCUGCAACGACUCACCUUUACUAUAUGUCAUUCCAUUCUGGGUCCAGCAUUCUCUUUAGGGCCCAUUUCCAGAGACGGGAUCCCUGAGGGAGGUCCAAGUCCAACCGGUCGCCACGGCCUGCACUCUGACGGCUGGUGAGCCCCGAGUGUGUCAGAGUAGAAAACGAUGCUGUAUGAUGCUUUCUCAUUCACUGACCUUUCAGACGUAGCUCACCAGGCUUUUCUUCCCUGGCACCUCUGCGGGGUGCUCGAACCAGCCUUUUGGUUAGCAGCUGAGCAGAGAACAGCACCACCCAGACACCCCUGGGGCUUAAAGGUAAGCGGAAGGGUGAUGUUGGUAGGGCUUGUCAACAGGCCCUCCAGUUGGGGCUGCCUGCAUUCACCCGCUCAUGGUGAUGCUGUAACAGCCUGGCUCCCCCACAGGCAGCUGGGUGUCCUGACACAGGAAGGGUUUACAAACCUGAUAGACAACAGAAAGCUGUCUUGUUCAGUGUUCAUCACACGUCAGCCCUGGUGACUCGCAGCGACCCCGGGUGACAAAGUGGGCCAGGGGUUUUGUGGAAGCAGAUCACCAGACUGGUCUCGCUCGGCACCACUGGGCGGUUUGACCCUUUCUCAUCCUGUUUAGCUGCCCAGCGCUUUCCCAUGGACACGGCCGGGCUCCUGGCGUGUUUUUCUUCAGAUGAGUGACGUUGAGAGGGUUCUCUGUCUGUUUGUAUUCCAGGUCUAAUUCCUUGACCUGUUGCGAAAGGAUAGCUGGAUCUCAGGGCUACUGAACAUGGUAGUGGUGUGGAUUGCAGUGUUUGUCAGAGGAGGCUUGCUCCUCCUGGGGCCAUGGUGAAUAGGAAUGGACUCGGCAGCGCAUUUGAGAGUUUUCUGUGACCAAGUGGACUCUUCAGAGGGGCCCCAACCAGACCGGGGGUCUGCUGUGGCAGCUGCCAAGGGAC
Echinops telfairi (small Madagascar hedgehog) is the source of this 1767-nucleotide RNA transcript. It is a transcript of the gene named small integral membrane protein 34, with no coding region annotated. Lineage: Eukaryota; Metazoa; Chordata; Mammalia; Afrosoricida; Tenrecidae. The transcript has 2 exons. The record is from RefSeq and is a predicted model, not a curated record.